Molecule: non-coding RNA, 47 nt
Organism: Apis mellifera (honey bee)
Lineage: Eukaryota; Metazoa; Arthropoda; Insecta; Hymenoptera; Apidae
Source: Rfam
CAAAUGGCCCUUUUCAGGGCCACUAAAUCUUUCAUACGAGGAACAAU